GAUGAACGCUGGCGGCGUGCUUAACACAUGCAAGUCGAACGGUGAAGCAGGAGCUUGCUCUUGUGGAUCAGUGGCGAACGGGUGAGUAACACGUGAGCAACCUGCCCCUGACUCUGGGAUAAGCGCUGGAAACGGCGUCUAAUACUGGAUAUGUGAUGUGACCGCAUGGUCUGCAUCUGGAAAGAAUUUCGGUUGGGGGUGGGCUAGCGGCCUAUCAGCUUGUUGGUGAGGUAAUGGCUCACCAAGGCGUCGACGGGUAGCCGGCCUGAGAGGGUGACGGGCCACAGUGGGACUGGGAGACUGCCCAGAAGCCUACGGGAGGCAGCAGUGGGGAAUAUUGCGCAAUGGUGGGAGGGCUGCUGCAGCAGCGCCGCCUAAGGGAUUACGGCCUUCGGGUUGUAAACCUCUGUUAGCAGGGAAGAAGCGAAAGUGACGGUACCUGCAGAAAAAGCACCGGCUAACUACGGGCCAGCCGCCGCGGUAA
RNAcentral lists this ribosomal RNA (484 nucleotides) under uncultured bacterium. Its description in RNAcentral is "partial 16S ribosomal RNA". It matches the Rfam family "Bacterial small subunit ribosomal RNA", at positions 28 to 523 of the family's 1533-position model. The record is from RNAcentral.